Chiloscyllium plagiosum (whitespotted bambooshark) is the source of this 1518-nucleotide long non-coding RNA. RefSeq lists it as uncharacterized. NCBI's taxonomy places the organism in Eukaryota, Metazoa, Chordata, Chondrichthyes, Orectolobiformes, Hemiscylliidae. The record is from RefSeq and is a predicted model, not a curated record.
GUGUUGACUAUUCCUAAUCAACUUAUGCCUAUCGAGAUGAUUAUACAUCCUUGUGAUUUGAAAUAAACCUGUUGGACUAUAACCAGGUGUGGUGUGACUGCUGACUUUAUCCACUCCUAUCCAACACCCAAAACCUCCACAUCACACUCAAUCUUAACACAGAUUUUCCAGGGAACAGUGGGCUAGUCGUGGCUAAACGAAAUGAUCGGUGACAUGCCGGAAACUGAUGUGUGGCUCGAGAGCCGGACAAGUCGGAUACAACCUGUUAAAUUUCUGUGUUUUUAUUAAAUCUAGUCCUUAAGAAGGACAAUCGAUUUGAGGCUUUUACUCUGUUUCUGGUGCUACCUCAACUGCUGUGUAUUUCCAACCCGUUCUGGUUCUAUCUCAGACUUCAGCAGUGCAGGAUUUUCCCUUUGGAACUUAGAUUAGACACAAGUACACACUGCACCUCAAAUGGGAACUGCGACCCUGCCCAUUAACCCCAGAAAUCCUUCACGAUUCUUUCACAGCUCUUGCUCUCAACUGCAUGCAAAUGUGGAGCUGCAUUUUCAAACUGAAAUUCCUUUUGAAAUGUGCUGUUUUUGAAUUUACACUAUCUCCACAUCGUCACCUCAUUCCAGCUAUUUCUAAACCUAUUUCUAUUAGUUGGCGUUCUCUCAGUUUUAAUCCCAAUGGUCUGAAUCUCACAUUUCUUGUACUCAAUCCAAAUAUCAGUCUGUCCUUGAUCCAGAGGCUAAUGGAGCUUUCGUGUGUUUCCAACAUUUUCUGUUCAAACUGUUCCCUUUGAAAACCCACAAGGUAUUAAAGCCAUUCACACACAAGUCAUUCAGAUAAAAGAACUGCCGAACACUUCAGGGAACUUGAUUCAGUGGGAGGGCAGCAAGAUUAAAAAAAAAAUACAUUUGUUUGAUUCAUUUUCGCGCCAGAUGCUGAAGAUUAGACAAACGUAUACCUUUCACCCCGUGCUCAGUGACACUGAUGGGCGGCUCUUUCACACCCCUCGCCCUUCUCAUGACCUUACACGAGUCCCGCUGCCCUAGGAUUACUGGCUCAAACCAACUUUCCAGAUGGUCUCCCUUCAAACACUGUAGAUCAUUCUUCAUUCAGAGAGAAACGCUUUUUCCCCAUUGUGCCUCUGACAGCAGCGAUUGGCUGCUGAGUGUGGGAAUCGCAGAGAAACCUGGACUCACGCUUCUUCCCUGUCCUCUCGCACUUAUAAAUACAGGAGAUGUUGGUCAGAACCGCAGCCCGCGUCUCCGCUCACUACCAGUUCCAAGAAGGUGGCGACUUACUUACAAAUCCAUAUCAAUUGCAAUUCGAGAAAGCUAAAAUGUUAAACGCAUUACUGCAGAGAUUGCACUGGCUAAAUUCGGACAUUUAGAAGUCAUUGCGUUGGAAAGGAAGGAUGACUUCCUGGAACGGAAUCGGUAACAAGUCUCGGUUCGUGUUCCACUGAUUGCACACCAGAACAACCGCGGACCUGCUGCCAACUCGUUACACUGAGAUGCAAAUUAAGAA